GCCGGGGCUGUGAGCUGUGUCCCACGCCUCUUCCCUGCCUCAGCCGGGAUGUGUCCAGUGUCACCGAGUCAGGAUCAGAGGCAGGACCUGAUCCCCCGCCUGCAGGCAGCUGGCUGAGAUAGGUAAUGGCUGUGCGGUAGAUACCUGUGCUCCUGCCACGGGUGCUGGGAGAGAUCUAUGCGUAUCUUGAGUUCUGAGCUUCGUGUGUAUGUGCAAGGCUGAGCUGAGCUGGAGUUACCCCUCUGGCAGCUUUAAUCCCAGGAGCACCACACCUCCAGCAGCUGGUACAUGCGACCUCACAGAACAUCCUGUUGGCUGGGAGUAGCAGAGACUAUACUACUAUGAGGAGAAACACACUUGAGUGCUCAGCAUCACUAGUGCUAGUUCUCUUUGUCAUUACUUGAGAGAGAACAGUGUGUAGGCAUGUAUUCCGGCUACAUUCCCUGCAGCACUUUCUGUGAGUAACCCAACUGGAAGGAAUAGGUACGUCUCUUUCUGAAGAAAACAUAGCUUCUGUCACAAGUAGGCCGCCAGUUUGUCCUUCCCAGUUCCUUUUUGUGCCUGUUUGUCUUGGAUGUCUUAAAAAGUUCCAGUGAUUUUACAUCUCUAGCAAAGAGAUUUGGUGAAGCUGGUGGGGAAGAGCUGACCUCAGCAGGCCUGUGACACCAAGGUGAGCAGACAAAGGUGGAGUGAGGAAGAGCUGUUCCCUAGGCCAUGGGGCCUUGCUUUGGUAAGUCUCUUCCUAAAAGCUGUCUGCCACAGACAGCUUUGGUCUAAUGCUCCCUGGUGUAUGAUGGCAGGAAGCUCUCAGGAGUGGAGAGUCAGUGGGUGGGAUGGUACUGAUGUUAAUUUUACAAGGGAUACGGGAGUGUCAAAUAGUUCCUGGUGCAUUUAGGAACGCAGAACAACCAGUGCCUGAGAAAAUCUAUUUUGCUGGUCUCUGUUCCUUGCUACUGUGUACUACAUCUUCAGAUACUUAUCUUGAAAUGAACCUAUUUUAGCUGACUUUGUUACGUUUUCUGUUUGUUUUAAGCAUGGCAGUUCUUUGAAUUCGUGGUUCACCUAAAAGGACAAGAUUACCACAGAAUGUGAACUGCUGGCUUUCUCUCAGGGGACGAAAGAGGUGGAGAGCACAAGAACUGUGCUUGAACAAGUAAUGCGGGGUCAUUCAGGCUGUGUCACACAAAUUACAAGGUCUGAUGAUGUAGGCACCUUUGGGCAGGCUCUUGGAGUUUGUAAGGCUCCAGAGUGCAGCUUCACCCCAGAGGGCACCUUGAAGUGGGAAUGUCAUUCAGGAGUCCAAGGUUCUGAAACAGUUCACCAAGACUUUUCCACUCCUAACCCUGCAAACCACUGACAUUAUUAUCCAGAUACUCCUUUGUAGGCACAAAGUCAUUUGUGAUUCCUUUGUUUUGCUCAUUCUCUGCUUGGUGCAAGAGAAUUCAAUGUCAAGCAACAGUCAUCUUCUGUCCUGGUGCUGCGGGGUU
Melopsittacus undulatus (budgerigar) is the source of this 1487-nucleotide long non-coding RNA. RefSeq lists it as uncharacterized. The record is from RefSeq and is a predicted model, not a curated record. The transcript has 3 exons. Lineage: Eukaryota; Metazoa; Chordata; Aves; Psittaciformes; Psittaculidae.